RNAcentral lists this ribosomal RNA (230 nucleotides) under Salmonella enterica subsp. enterica. RNAcentral's name for it is "partial 23S ribosomal RNA". It matches the Rfam family "Bacterial large subunit ribosomal RNA", at positions 454 to 687 of the family's 2925-position model. RNAcentral also lists the same sequence under 1 other name. Lineage: Bacteria; Pseudomonadati; Pseudomonadota; Gammaproteobacteria; Enterobacterales; Enterobacteriaceae. The record is from RNAcentral.
CAUCCUCCAAGGCUAAAUACUCCUGACUGACCGAUAGUGAACCAGUACCGUGAGGGAAAGGCGAAAAGAACCCCGGCGAGGGGAGUGAAAAAGAACCUGAAACCGUGUACGUACAAGCAGUGGGAGCACCCUUUGGGUGUGACUGCGUACCUUUUGUAUAAUGGGUCAGCGACUUAUAUUCUGUAGCAAGGUUAACCGAAUAGGGGAGCCGGAGGGAAACCGAGUCUUAA